RNAcentral lists this ribosomal RNA (256 nucleotides) under uncultured archaeon. RNAcentral's name for it is "partial 16S ribosomal RNA". It matches the Rfam family "Bacterial small subunit ribosomal RNA", at positions 521 to 776 of the family's 1533-position model. The record is from RNAcentral.
UAAUACGGAGGGUCCGAGCGUUAUCCGGAAUCAUUGGGUUUAAAGGGUCCGUAGGCGGGCAAUUAAGUCAGUGGUGAAAGUCUGCAGCUCAACUGUAGAAUUGCCAUUGAUACUGGUUGUCUUGAAUCGUUGUGAAGUGGCUAGAAUAUGUGGUGUAGCGGUGAAAUGCUUAGAUAUCACAUAGAAUACCGAUUGCGAAGGCAGGUCACUAACAACGUAUUGACGCUGAUGGACGAAAGCGUGGGGAGCGAACAGG